This 254-nucleotide ribosomal RNA is filed under the name uncultured bacterium. RNAcentral's name for it is "partial 16S ribosomal RNA". It matches the Rfam family "Bacterial small subunit ribosomal RNA", at positions 524 to 776 of the family's 1533-position model. The record is from RNAcentral.
UACGGGGGGGGGCAAGCGUUGUUCGGAAUUACUGGGCGUAAAGGGCUCGUAGGUGGCCAACUAAGUCAGACGUGAAAUCCCUCAGCUUAACUGGGGAACUGCGUCCGAUACUGGAUGGCUUGGAUUUGGGAGAGGGAUGCGGAAUUCCAGGUGUAGCGGUGAAAUGCGUAGAUAUCUGGAGGAACACCGGUGGCGAAGGCGGCAUCCUGGACCAAUAUUGACGCUGAGGAGCGAAAGCCAGGGGAGCAAACGGG